Molecule: long non-coding RNA, 613 nt
Organism: Xenopus laevis (African clawed frog)
Lineage: Eukaryota; Metazoa; Chordata; Amphibia; Anura; Pipidae
Exons: 2
Source: RefSeq, a predicted model, not a curated record
ACAAUCCUAUUGGGUUUAUUUAAUGUUUAAAUACGUUUUUAGUUGACUUAAACCCCAAGCAUUCUGCAUAAGAAGUCCGAUACCUGUAUGUAGAAUUCAUUUUUGGGGGGGGGGGAUUUGACCAUAUUCAGUAGAAUCAGCCCUGUAUAAGGCAGCUUGUUCCCAUACAUAUUGCCCAUCAUUCUAAGUAGAAGAAGUUGUAGCUAGAUAUUCAGCAGGUUUUUGUAGCUUGUAUUUGGGAUUUUGGUGAUAAAUCUGUUUAAUCUAUUUUUCCUUCCUUUCAUGCCAAACCGCACAUUACUACGAGGGAUAUUAUCUAAAAUUCUGAAUGUAGGAAAGCAAGGAUGGUACCUCUAAACAGCUGAAGAAUGCCAUUAUCAGAGAGACAAUGGAGCCCCAUGAACUGCACUGAAUCAACUCCACAUGGGGACCUGGACCAAAUAGACAGCACUUGAACAACAUAUUGGCAUGACAUUACAUUACAGUUGGAACCAGUAGCAAGUGGUCCAUUAAGACUAAGAAACCAACUUACACAACUAAUUCCAGGUACACCUGCAAGCCUGACCUGACUAUCCUUAUACUAAAAACAAAAAUAAAUAUUAACAAAAAUUUA